GACGAACGCUGGCGGCGUGCUUAACACAUGCAAGUCGAACGGAAAGGCCCUGCUUUUGUGGGGUGCUCGAGUGGCGAACGGGUGAGUAACACGUGAGUAACCUGCCCUUGACUUUGGGAUAACUUCAGGAAACUGGGGCUAAUACCGGAUAGGAGCUCCUGCUGCAUGGUGGGGGUUGGAAAGUUUCGGCGGUUGGGGAUGGACUCGCGGCUUAUCAGCUUGUUGGUGGGGUAGUGGCUUACCAAGGCUUUGACGGGUAGCCGGCCUGAGAGGGUGACCGGCCACAUGGGGAUGGAGAUACGGCCCAGACUCGUACGGGAGGCAGCAGGGGGGAAUAUGGCACAAGGGGCGGAAGCCUGAUGCAGAAACGCCGCGUGCGGGAUGACGGCCUUCGGGUUGUAAACCGCUUUCGCUUGUGACGAAGCGUGAGUGACGGUAAUGGGGAAAGAAGCACCGGCGAACUACGU
RNAcentral lists this ribosomal RNA (467 nucleotides) under uncultured bacterium. Its description in RNAcentral is "partial 16S ribosomal RNA". It matches the Rfam family "Bacterial small subunit ribosomal RNA", at positions 28 to 506 of the family's 1533-position model. The record is from RNAcentral.